RNAcentral lists this ribosomal RNA (1676 nucleotides) under Salmonella enterica subsp. enterica serovar Typhimurium str. DT104. Its description in RNAcentral is "bacterial LSU rRNA". It matches the Rfam family "Bacterial large subunit ribosomal RNA", at positions 1271 to 2925 of the family's 2925-position model. Lineage: Bacteria; Pseudomonadati; Pseudomonadota; Gammaproteobacteria; Enterobacterales; Enterobacteriaceae. The record is from RNAcentral.
UGCUGGAGGUAUCAGAAGUGCGAAUGCUGACAUAAGUAACGAUAAAGCGGGUGAAAAGCCCGCUCGCCGGAAGACCAAGGGUUCCUGUCCAACGUUAAUCGGGGCAGGGUGAGUCGACCCCUAAGGCGAGGCCGAAAGGCGUAGUCGAUGGGAAACGGGUUAAUAUUCCCGUACUUGGUGUUACUGCGAAGGGGGGACGGAGAAGGCUAUGUUGGCCGGGCGACGGUUGUCCCGGUUUAAGCGUGUAGGUGUGUGUUCCAGGUAAAUCCGGUUCACUUUAACACUGAGGCGUGACGACGAGGCACUACGGUGCUGAAGCAACAAAUGCCCUGCUUCCAGGAAAAGCCUCUAAGCAUCAGGUAACACGAAAUCGUACCCCAAACCGACACAGGUGGUCAGGUAGAGAAUACCAAGGCGCUUGAGAGAACUCGGGUGAAGGAACUAGGCAAAAUGGUGCCGUAACUUCGGGAGAAGGCACGCUGACACGUAGGUGAAGUGAUUUACUCAUGGAGCUGAAGUCAGUCGAAGAUACCAGCUGGCUGCAACUGUUUAUUAAAAACACAGCACUGUGCAAACACGAAAGUGGACGUAUACGGUGUGACGCCUGCCCGGUGCCGGAAGGUUAAUUGAUGGGGUCAGCGCAAGCGAAGCUCCUGAUCGAAGCCCCGGUAAACGGCGGCCGUAACUAUAACGGUCCUAAGGUAGCGAAAUUCCUUGUCGGGUAAGUUCCGACCUGCACGAAUGGCGUAAUGAUGGCCAGGCUGUCCCCACCCGAGACUCAGUGAAAUUGAACUCGCUGUGAAGAUGCAGUGUACCCGCGGCAAGACGGAAAGACCCCGUGAACCUUUACUAUAGCUUGACACUGAACAUUGAGCCUUGAUGUGUAGGAUAGGUGGGAGGCUUUGAAGUGUGGACGCCAGUCUGCAUGGAGCCGACCUUGAAAUACCACCCUUUAAUGUUUGAUGUUCUAACGUGGACCCGUAAUCCGGGUUGCGGACAGUGUCUGGUGGGUAGUUUGACUGGGGCGGUCUCCUCCUAAAGAGUAACGGAGGAGCACGAAGGUUGGCUAAUCCUGGUCGGACAUCAGGAGGUUAGUGCAAUGGCAUAAGCCAGCUUGACUGCGAGCGUGACGGCGCGAGCAGGUGCGAAAGCAGGUCAUAGUGAUCCGGUGGUUCUGAAUGGAAGGGCCAUCGCUCAACGGAUAAAAGGUACUCCGGGGAUAACAGGCUGAUACCGCCCAAGAGUUCAUAUCGACGGCGGUGUUUGGCACCUCGAUGUCGGCUCAUCACAUCCUGGGGCUGAAGUAGGUCCCAAGGGUAUGGCUGUUCGCCAUUUAAAGUGGUACGCGAGCUGGGUUUAGAACGUCGUGAGACAGUUCGGUCCCUAUCUGCCGUGGGCGCUGGAGAACUGAGGGGGGCUGCUCCUAGUACGAGAGGACCGGAGUGGACGCAUCACUGGUGUUCGGGUUGUCAUGCCAAUGGCACUGCCCGGUAGCUAAAUGCGGAAGAGAUAAGUGCUGAAAGCAUCUAAGCACGAAACUUGCCCCGAGAUGAGUUCUCCCUGAGACUUAGAGUCUCCUGAAGGAACGUUGAAGACGACGACGUUGAUAGGCCGGGUGUGUAAGCGCAGCGAUGCGUUGAGCUAACCGGUACUAAUGAACCGUGAGGCUUAACCUU